RNAcentral lists this long non-coding RNA (1237 nucleotides) under Anser cygnoides (Swan goose). Its description in RNAcentral is "lncRNA (ENSACDG00005001864.1)". The record is from RNAcentral. Lineage: Eukaryota; Metazoa; Chordata; Aves; Anseriformes; Anatidae.
AUGACCCUUGCAUGCACACGCCCCUUCCAGAUGACUGGCAAUUUGGAAAACCUCAUCAGACACAAGGUUAUGUUUCUGUGCCCUGUUACUCAAUAUAACUUCUGUCUGACUAAUUGCCACUUAGGACAGGACAAGCUGCUCCUACUCCUUGCACAGUGCAAACGCUGGUGGCAUGGAGGGGUUUUGCCAUCUCUGGGCUGCCUCCUGCACAAGACCAGUGUCCUUCUCAUUUGGCUGCCAUGCAGAAGGGAGUGCACCAUCCCACCUUCUGUCCCCUGCCGGCUGACAGAGUUACAGGGGACAUCUGUCACUGUUUUAAGGUCAGUAAGGAUGGAGAAAUAUGGCUUGCUGGCAUGGCGGAGAGCAUGAUGGAGGUAAAGGAGACGACCACUUUGAGAAGAAGACUCACUGCAUCUGAAACACAUGCUGCUGAGGACAACCGGUCUGUUCAUGGGUGAGCAAUCAAAGCUGUCAUUUAGUUCUGAAAAUGGGGAGAGGAUACUGACUUAUACACCAAUGUAAUCAGCCUUUAACCUGGACAAACACUUUGUUCCUCUUUGGUUGUAAGCAAAAGCCUUCCUGUUCCUCUGCAAGACAGCUACGCUGAGGCUUUCCAGACUCAUAGAAAGCAAAGCACCAAGUUCUGGAAAAUAUAAAACAGAAAAAACAAUCUGUCAAGGUUUGUACGCAUGGAUUUAAUAAGCUUUGAUUAGAAUUUUAUCUGAGAUGGUAGAUGUGACUUGAAUGACAAGGGGAUUGAGUCAAGUUGUAACAUCAGUAGAGGUAUUUUGAUUUCAGUCAUUUCUUUAAAAUGCUUUUAGAUGAGAUUUAAAUAAUCAUUUAGUCAUAUAAGACCUCCCAUCCAAACCUUUUCCAAAAUUGAAAAAAGGAUGAGGCUGAUAGUGCUGAAUAUAUGGUAACACUGUUCUAGUGUGGGGAUUAGCACAGAACUAUCAUUUGUAUCACUAUCGUUUGUAUCAUUUUCUUUGACUUUUCCAUAAAUUACUGAGAAAUGAAACAAUGCAGAAAUUCAUGAGAGGCUUUUUGGAGCAUGCUACAAAUUACAAAUAUGCAGCAAAAGUUACUGUGUCCCUUAUCUUGGUUGACUUUUGGAAUCAGUAUAGAUUUUUCAAUUUUAAUUUUCUAUAUUUGUUAUAUUUACUUGAAGAUGUAGUUUAUUCCCUUUAUUAUUAUUCUCUUUAAUAAAGUGUAAGGAAUAAGCUGGCUAUCUGUAGAU